RNAcentral lists this transfer RNA (73 nucleotides) under Ailuropoda melanoleuca (giant panda). It matches the Rfam family "tRNA". Rfam says of the family: Transfer RNA (tRNA) molecules are approximately 80 nucleotides in length. Their secondary structure includes four short double-helical elements and three loops (D, anti-codon, and T loops). Lineage: Eukaryota; Metazoa; Chordata; Mammalia; Carnivora; Ursidae. The record is from Rfam by way of RNAcentral.
GCCUGGCUGGCUCAGUCGGUGGAGCGUGCGACUCUUGAUCUCAGGGUUGUGAGUUCAAGCCCCACAUUGGGUG